GCUGGCGUAGCUCAAUCGGUAGAGCAUCUGACUUGUAAUCAGAGGGUUGCAGGUUCAAGUCCUGUCGCCAGCUCCA
Molecule: transfer RNA, 76 nt
Filed under: Carboxydothermus pertinax
Lineage: Bacteria; Bacillati; Bacillota; Clostridia; Thermoanaerobacterales; Thermoanaerobacteraceae
Description: tRNA-Thr
Rfam family: tRNA
About the family: Transfer RNA (tRNA) molecules are approximately 80 nucleotides in length. Their secondary structure includes four short double-helical elements and three loops (D, anti-codon, and T loops).
Source: RNAcentral